CCUACGGGAGGCAGCAGUGGGGGAUAUUGCACAAUGGGGGGAACCCUGAUGCAGCGACGCCGCGUGGGUGAAGGAGCGUUUCGGCGCGUAAAGCCCUAUCGGCAGGGAAGAAGGAGGACGGUACCUGACUAAGAAGCCCCGGCUAACUACGUGCCAGCAGCCGCGGUAAUACGUAGGGAGCAAGCGUUGUCCGGAAUUACUGGGGGUAAAGGGGGCGUAGGCGGGGAUGCAAGUUGGGUGUCAAAACUACCGGCUCAACCGAUAGUCGCACUCAAAACUGCAGCUCUUGAGUGAAGUAGAGGCAGGCGGAAUGCCUAGUGUAGCGGUGAAAUGCGUAGAUAUUAGGAGGAACACCAGUGGCGAAGGCGGCCUGCUGGGCUUUUACUGACGCUGAGGCUCGAAAGUGUGGGGAGCAAACAGGAUUAGAUACCCUUGUAGUC
RNAcentral lists this ribosomal RNA (440 nucleotides) under uncultured bacterium. RNAcentral describes it as "partial 16S ribosomal RNA". It matches the Rfam family "Bacterial small subunit ribosomal RNA", at positions 338 to 795 of the family's 1533-position model. The record is from RNAcentral.